Molecule: ribosomal RNA, 472 nt
Filed under: uncultured anaerobic ammonium-oxidizing bacterium
Lineage: Bacteria
Description: bacterial SSU rRNA
Rfam family: Bacterial small subunit ribosomal RNA
Source: RNAcentral
UUCGCAAUGCCCGAAAGGGUGAACGAGCGACGCCGCGUGCGGGAUGAAGGCCCUCGGGUCGUAAACCACUGUCAAGAGGGACGAAUGCCUGGAUGGCGAAUCCGGGAGCGACGGUACCUCUGGAGGAAGCCCCGGCUAACUCCGUGCCAGCAGCCGCGGUAAUACGGAGGGGGCAAGCGUUGUUCGGAUUUACUGGGCGUAAAGGGUGUGUAGGCGGCUGGGUAAGUCUGGUGUGAAAUCUUCACCGCUCAACGGGAAGAGGUCACUGGAAACUGCCUAGCUCGAGUAUGGUAGAGGCAAGCGGAAUUCCUGGUGUAGCGAUGGAAUGUGUAGAUAUCAGGAAGAACACCGGUGGCGAAGGCGGUGGUCUGGGCCGAAACUGACGCUGAGGCGCGAAAGCCAGGGGAGCAAACGGGAUUAGAUACCCCGGUAGUCCUAGCCGUAAACGAUGGGCACUAAGUAGAGGGGUUUU